GUGGGGAAUAUUAGGCAAUGGGCGAAAGCCUGACCUAGCAACGCCGCGUGAAGGAAGAAGGCCUUCGGGUUAUAAACUUCUUUUAUGAGGGACGAAGGACGUGACGGUACCUCAUGAAUAAGCCACGGCUAACUACGUGCCAGCAGCCGCGGUAAUACGUAGGUGGCGAGCGUUGUCCGGAUUUACUGGGUGUAAAGGGCGCGUAGGCGGACUGGCAAGUCAGAUGUGAAAUACAGGGGCUCAACCCCUGAACUGCAUUUGAAACUGUUGGUCUUGAGUAUCGGAGAGGCAAGCGGAAUUCCUAGUGUAGCGGUGAAAUGCGUAGAUAUUAGGAGGAACACCAGUGGCGAAGGCGGCUUGCUGGACGACAACUGACGCUGAGGCGCGAAAGCGUGGGGAGCAAACAGGAUUAGAUACCCGGGUAGUCC
Molecule: ribosomal RNA, 428 nt
Filed under: uncultured bacterium
Lineage: Bacteria
Description: partial 16S ribosomal RNA
Rfam family: Bacterial small subunit ribosomal RNA
Source: RNAcentral